ACGAACGCUGGCGGCGUGGAUAAGGCAUGCAAGUCAAACGGGUCCGACGCAAGUCGGACCAGUGGCAAACGGGGUAGUAACACGUGGGUACAUACCUUGAAGUCGGGCAUAACCAGCCGAAAGGUUGGAUAAUUUCCGAUAGUUCCCGUAAGGGUAAAGUCGUAAGACGCUUCAAGAAUGGCCUGCGGGCUAUCAGCUAGUUGGUAGGGUAACGGCCUACCAAGGCGAUGACGGCUAGGGGGGGUGAGAGCCCGAUCCCCACCAAUGGUACUGCGACACGGACCAUACACCUACGGGUGGCAGCAGCCGAGAAUAUUCGACAAUGGGGGAAACCCUGAUCGAGCGACGCCGCGUGCAGGAUGAAGUUCUUCGGGAUGUAAACUGCUUUUAUAGGGGAGGAACGCAAGUGACUGUACCCUAUGAAUAAGGACCUGCAAAUCUCGU
RNAcentral lists this ribosomal RNA (444 nucleotides) under uncultured bacterium. RNAcentral's name for it is "bacterial SSU rRNA". It matches the Rfam family "Bacterial small subunit ribosomal RNA", at positions 29 to 506 of the family's 1533-position model. The record is from RNAcentral.